AGAGUUUGAUCCUGGCUCAGGACGAACGCUGGCGGCGUGCUUAACACAUGCAAGUCGAGCGGUAAGGCCUCCUUCGGGGGGUACACGAGCGGCGAACGGGUGAGUAACACGUGAGUAAUCUGCCCUUCACUCUGGGAUAAGCACCGGAAACGGUGUCUAAUACCGGAUACGACCAACUGCUGCAUGGUGUGUUGGUGGAAAGUUUUUUCGGUGGGGGAUGUGCUCGCGGCCUAUCAGCUUGAUGGUGGGGUAAUGGCCUACCAUGGCGUCGACGGGUAGCCGGCCUGAGAGGGUGACCGGUCACACUGGGACUGAGACGCGGCCCAGACUCCUACGGGAGGCAGCAGUGGGGAAUAUUGGACAAUGGGCGGAAGCCUGAUCCAGCAACGCCGCGUGAGGGAUGACGGCCUUCGGGUUGUAAACCUCUUUCAUCACCGACGAAGUCCUCGCUUUUGGGGUGGGGGUGACGGUAGGUGGAGAAGAAGCACCGGCCAACUACGUGCCAGCAGCCGCGGUAAUACGUAGGGUGCGAGCGUUGUCCGGAAUUAUUGGGCGUAAAGGGCUCGUAGGCGGUUUGUCGCGUCGGGAGUGAAAACACCGGGCUUAACUCGGUGCUGGCUUUCGAUACGGGCAGACUAGAGGUAUGCAGGGGAGAACGGAAUUCCUGGUGUAGCGGUGAAAUGCGCAGAUAUCAGGAGGAACACCGGUGGCGAAGGCGGUUCUCUGGGCAUGUCCUGACGCUGAGGAGCGAAAGUGUGGGGAGCGAACAGGAUUAGAUACCCUGGUAGUCCACACCGUAAACGUUGGGCGCUAGGUGUGGGAUCCAUUCCACGGGUUCCGUGCCGCAGCUAACGCAUUAAGCGCCCCGCCUGGGGAGUACGGCCGCAAGGCUAAAACUCAAAGGAAUUGACGG
This 913-nucleotide ribosomal RNA is filed under the name uncultured bacterium. Its description in RNAcentral is "bacterial SSU rRNA". It matches the Rfam family "Bacterial small subunit ribosomal RNA", at positions 8 to 916 of the family's 1533-position model. The record is from RNAcentral.